ACUGUUUCCAGUCUUGUAUUUUUAUUUGCCUGAAAUUAUUUUCUCCUGGAACAAGUCUGAAAUUGCUCAUUUAUUUCUGCAUAUACUUCUGAUCACUUUACACACACUAGAAACAAGAAUUCAUAUGGUGGUCUGUAGAAGGUAUGGGCAAAAACAUCCUUGUGCAAGCUUGAAUUUUACCACAUGUUUUUUUUCUACAUAUGAUAAAAUCUUAUCAUUCUUUUUGUUAAUGUAUCAUGGAGAAAAGGACGGAAGAAUUCACACCAGACUCUUAACAUCGGUUAUUUCACUCUGGAGUAGAAACAAGCAAGAGACACGGAGAGGGAGGGAACACAAGCAGGGGAAGCGGAAGAGAGAGAAGCAGGCUUCCCGCUGA
Molecule: long non-coding RNA, 376 nt
Filed under: Mustela putorius furo (domestic ferret)
Lineage: Eukaryota; Metazoa; Chordata; Mammalia; Carnivora; Mustelidae
Description: lncRNA (ENSMPUG00000031954.1)
Source: RNAcentral